AUUGAACGCUGGCGGCAUGCUUAACGCAUGCAAGUCGAACGGCAGCACUGCAGAGCUUGCUCUGUGGGUGGCGAGUGGCGGACGGGUGAGUAAUGCAUCGGGACCUACCCAGACGUGGGGGAUAACGUAGGGAAACUUACGCUAAUACCGCAUACGUCCUACGGGAGAAAGCGGGGGAUCGCAAGACCUCGCGCGGUUGGAUGACCGAUGUGCGAUUAGCUAGUUGGUGAGGUAAUGGCUCACCAAGGCGACGAUCGCUAGCUGGUCUGAGAGGAUGAGCAGCCACACUGGGACUGAGACACGGCCCAGACUCCUACGGGAGGCAGCAGUGGGGAAUAUUGGACAAUGGGCGCAAGCCUGAUCCAGCAAUGCCGCGUGUGUGAAGAAGGCCCUCGGGUUGUAAAGCACUUUUAUCAGGAGCGAAAUCUGCAAGGUUAAUACCUUUGCAGUCUGACGGUACCUGAGGAAUAAGCACCGGCUAACUCCGUGCCAGCCGCCGCAGUAA
Molecule: ribosomal RNA, 505 nt
Filed under: uncultured bacterium
Lineage: Bacteria
Description: partial 16S ribosomal RNA
Rfam family: Bacterial small subunit ribosomal RNA
Source: RNAcentral